GCACAAGCAGUGGAGUAUGUGGUUUAAUUCGAAGCAACGCGAAGAACCUUACCAGGUCUUGACAUCCGAUGCAUAGCACAGAGAUGUGUGAAAUCCUUCGGGACAUCGAGACAGGUGGUGCAUGGUUGUCGUCAGCUCGUGUCGUGAGAUGUUGGGUUAAGUCCCGCAACGAGCGCAACCCUUAUUGCCAGUUACUACGUUAAGAGGACUCUGGCGAGACUGCCGUUGAU
RNAcentral lists this ribosomal RNA (230 nucleotides) under uncultured bacterium. Its description in RNAcentral is "partial 16S ribosomal RNA". It matches the Rfam family "Bacterial small subunit ribosomal RNA", at positions 923 to 1159 of the family's 1533-position model. The record is from RNAcentral.